UGCUUUAAUCCCUGCUCUGAUCAAUAAUAUAAUUAAGAACACUUUUAUCGUAUUUCCAAAGCAUUAGUUCCUGAAGUAACAACUCUUCACGAGUCCCCUGCGCCCGCGUAUUGCCGCACAUGGCCAUGUUUAAUCCCAUUUAACUUAAGUACCAUGAGACAGCUCGUAAAAAGCCCUAACAUUGACAGUGAGGUGGAUGUCAGGCAGGGAGUUGCUGUCAUGCUGCAAGUUGGCAUAAAGGAUUGUAUUCAUCCCAAUUCUCCCAAUCUCCUAGAGUAUGAAGAAGAAAAAAAAAA
This is a non-coding RNA of Cucurbita pepo subsp. pepo (vegetable marrow), 296 nucleotides long. The record is from RefSeq and is a predicted model, not a curated record. Lineage: Eukaryota; Viridiplantae; Streptophyta; Magnoliopsida; Cucurbitales; Cucurbitaceae.